This is a long non-coding RNA of Dermacentor silvarum, 650 nucleotides long. RefSeq lists it as uncharacterized. Lineage: Eukaryota; Metazoa; Arthropoda; Arachnida; Ixodida; Ixodidae. The transcript is spliced from 3 exons. The record is from RefSeq and is a predicted model, not a curated record.
UGAGCGUUGGCGCAUGCAUGCAGCGUCUCGGGUAGUCCUGGUGAGUCUGCGAUCUACUGGUAUAACGGUUGGCCCGCUCACGCGACUGAAUACCGAUCUCUGAGGCAACGGACAAAAUUCGGGCUACACUCCCAUAAACGUCCGCAUUGGAACGCCUUUAUCGGUCGCCCACCUGUGUCCGGCUGUCCACGCAGGCAACUUCACCCUGAUCUGCGUCUUCGAGUACAUCACGGCGGACCUCUGGAACAAGACGGACCAGUGCACCGACUAUGUCUACAUCCGGGCUUUCUACUACGCCAUCCGAGUCAACCACGAGCCGCUCGUUUUCGACAAGAAGACGUUGAUACGGAAUACUCACAAAUUGUACUUCGACGACCAGUACUACUGGCAGAAUCUGACCCUGGCGGACCAGAGGGUAAACCGCGCCAUGCGCAGGUUUCCCUCAUGCCGACUGGUACCUUGGAAUGUGGGGCGCCAUCUACAUACGGCUCGUGUCAAGCUUUUGGCAGACCAACUUUAUACAAGAGGCCCUGUACAACUUUACGCGACGGCCCUAUUUCGGCCCGAUCAACACGACCCGGUUCAGCGGAUUUGCGAUAAUCAACACGAUAAUUCAGAAUGAGCGAGGAGACGCUCUGAUCGCAGAACAU